This 238-nucleotide ribosomal RNA is filed under the name uncultured bacterium. Its description in RNAcentral is "partial 16S ribosomal RNA". It matches the Rfam family "Bacterial small subunit ribosomal RNA", at positions 29 to 257 of the family's 1533-position model. The record is from RNAcentral.
AAUGAACGCUGGCGGCGCGCCUAAUACAUGCAAGUCGAGCGAGAAGACGUAGCAAUACGUUUGUAAAGCGGCGAACGGGUGAGGAAUACAUGGGUAACCUACCCUUGAGUGGGGAAUAACUAGCCGAAAGGUUAGCUAAUACCGCGUACGCUUCCUGGACUUCGGUUCAGGGAGGAAAGCGAUGCCGAGGGUAUCGCGCUCUUGGAUGGGCUCAUGUCCUAUCAGCUUGUUGGGAGGU